Non-coding RNA from Odocoileus virginianus texanus, 6778 nucleotides. The record is from RefSeq and is a predicted model, not a curated record. Lineage: Eukaryota; Metazoa; Chordata; Mammalia; Artiodactyla; Cervidae.
UUUUUUUUGUACUUGACUCAGAGGCUCGAGAAACGCUAACAUAUAUACAGCGCUUUCUAUGUCUCAGGCAUGUUCUAAAAGCUUUACAUUUUCCAUUCUUCUAACCCUUUAUUUGACACAAGAGGAAACUGAAGCAUAGGAGGUGCUCAGGUAAUGCAUCUCUGUGAAACAGCAAGGAUUAAACUCAGGCGUUCUGGCUCUAGAGUAUCUAUUCUUUACACUAGAAUGAAAGAGUCGGAUAAUGCUGAAACAGCUCACCCUUCAGCAUCGGAUCGUGAAACACUCUUACUGGUGGCAGAACACUUGGCUCUGGGAUCACAGUUUCUCCUUCUGUAAGAUGGAGAUAACGACGCUAGGAGUUUGGUGCAAAGAAGGAGUGAGAUAAUGAAUGCGAAAGUGAACUUCAAAUUAUGUAGGUGGCUCCACACACCAGUCUUUUGGAAUAAUGAGAACGGGAACUCAAGAAAUUGUAACGAAUCAAUCUACGAAUCUUGUAGCGAGACUCCGCCCCUGACGCUCCUCCCACUGCGAGCCGCAGGUGGGGCCGGCCGAUCUUCUUUGCGCAUGCGGGAACUGCUGCCCGCUCCCACCUCUAUCCCAGGCUGAGAGUAGCUGCCGUUUCUGAGAGGACGAUUCGUAAGGAGACCCCUGGCGCGGUUUCCCAUUGCUCGUCCCUCUGCUGGCUUUGGCCAUAGUUCAGCGGUGUCUAGAGGGUGGUCUGUCCUCGUCUACCUGCCAGACCUUCUGCAGAGGUUCCUGUGGUUGGCCCAGUAGUCGGCUGUCGAAAGUGCCGGCCCCCGCGCCGGCGCCGGCUGCAGCCGGGUGGGAAGGCUCAAGAUGGCGUGCCUGUUGGAGACCCCAAUCCGCAUGAGCGUCCUCUCGGAAGUAACAGCUAGCAGUCGCCACUAUGUUGACAGGCUAUUUGACCCUGAUCCCCAGAAAGUUCUACAAGGUGUCAUAGACAUGAAAAAUGCUGUAAUUGGAAACAACAAGCAGAAAGCCAACCUCAUUGUUUUAGGAGCUGUUCCAAGAUUAUUGUACUUGCUUCAGCAAGAAACCUCAAGCACAGAAUUGAAAACUGAAUGUGCAGUGGUAUUGGGAAGUCUUGCUAUGGGUACUGAAAACAAUGUUAAGUCUCUACUAGAUUGCCAUAUUAUCCCUGCCUUACUGCAAGGACUACUGUCCCCAGACCUGAAGUUCAUUGAAGCUUGCCUCCGAUGCCUGCGCACCAUCUUCACCAGUCCCGUCACUCCAGAGGAACUACUGUAUACAGAUGCCACGGUGAUACCACACCUCAUGGCACUGCUUAGCAGGUCCCGCUACACCCAGGAGUACAUCUGUCAGAUCUUCUCACACUGCUGUAAAGGUCCAGAUCAUCAAACAAUUUUAUUUAACCAUGGCGCAGUUCAGAAUAUUGCUCACCUACUAACCUCAGUAUCUUACAAAGUUCGAAUGCAAGCACUGAAAUGCUUCUCAGUUUUAGCUUUUGAAAACCCCCAGGUAUCGAUGACCCUGGUAAAUGUUUUGGUUGAUGGAGAGUUGUUACCACAGAUUUUUGUGAAGAUGUUACAAAGGGAUAAGCCCAUUGAGAUGCAGCUGACAUCGGCAAAAUGUUUAACUUACAUGUGUAGAGCUGGAGCAAUUCGGACAGAUGACAACUGUAUUGUAUUAAAGACAUUGCCUUGUUUGGUUCGAAUGUGCAGUAAGGAGAGGUUACUAGAGGAGAGAGUUGAAGGAGCUGAGACACUCGCCUAUCUGAUUGAACCAGAUGUUGAGCUGCAGAGAAUUGCUAGCAUUACUGAUCACCUCAUUGCCAUGCUUGCUGAUUACUUCAAGUAUCCCAGCUCUGUGAGUGCCAUCACUGAUAUUAAAAGGCUUGAUCAUGACUUAAAGCAUGCUCAUGAACUUCGCCAGGCUGCAUUCAAGCUCUAUGCCUCUCUCGGAGCAAACGAUGAAGACAUCCGGAAGAAGAUCAUUGAGACUGAAAAUAUGAUGGACCGAAUUGUGACUGGCUUGUCUGAGUCUAGUGUCAAGGUGCGGUUAGCUGCCGUCAGAUGUUUGCACAGUUUAUCUAGAUCUGUGCAGCAGCUUCGAACCAGUUUCCAGGAUCAUGCUGUGUGGAAACCUUUAAUGAAGGUUUUACAAAAUGCACCAGAUGAAAUCCUAGUAGUAGCAUCAUCCAUGCUAUGUAAUCUUCUUCUUGAAUUUUCUCCAAGCAAAGAGCCAAUUUUAGAGUCAGGAGCUGUAGAGCUACUUUGUGGACUAACCCAAAGUGAAAAUCCUGCUUUACGAGUGAAUGGAAUUUGGGCUUUAAUGAAUAUGGCAUUUCAGGCUGAACAAAAAAUAAAAGCAGAUAUUUUGCGAAGCUUGAGUACUGAACAGCUCUUCCGAUUAUUAUCAGAUUCAGACUUGAAUGUGCUGAUGAAGACAUUGGGACUUCUUAGAAACCUACUCUCUACUCGCCCUCACAUAGAUAAAAUAAUGAGUACUCAUGGAAAGCAAAUUAUGCAAGCCGUCACCCUUAUUUUGGAAGGGGAGCAUAACAUUGAAGUCAAAGAGCAGACACUGUGCAUCUUAGCCAACAUAGCAGAUGGAACAACGGCAAAAGAACUUAUUAUGACCAAUGAUGACAUCCUACAGAAAAUUAAGUAUUAUAUGGGUCAUUCACAUGUCAAAUUGCAGCUUGCCGCUAUGUUUUGUAUAUCAAACCUCGUAUGGAAUGAAGAGGAAGGUAAGAGAUUGUUGAGAUUUGUUCUGAAAAAAAUUAUGGAGAGGAAGGUGUCAAACAGGGACAGCAUCAGCUGCUCCAAAAUCCUGGGUAGAGGCACCACUCAUUGGGCCCUAAGCACCCAACAAAGUCUCCUAGGUAUGAAUGAGAAUCUGCUGGCUUAGCUAACAUUGAGCCCCCACCUUGGAGUCAGCACUGUUCCAGAGUACUGAGCGUGGGGAUUGGAGGAGACCCUAGAGAAGUGACAGCCCUUGCCCUUGAGACAGCUGAGAAGGAGGAUGGUGAGAUGCACUUGAAGAAGAUGAGAGGUGAGAGUGGGCGGGAGGGUUGACCUUUCACUGUGUGCAGGGGGAGCACAUCGAAGGACCACAUGCAGGUAAGCUCAAUGGAGAAGAGGGUGGUUGGUGAGAAGGGAGAACUACACCGUGCCUGGUGAGGCGACCAGUGUGUGAGGAAGCCUCUAUAGCACUCUACCUUGAUGUGCAUCAGAACCACCCAGAAAUUUUGCAUCAGCCAGUUAAAUCAGAAUCUCUGGGAGUGGGCUCCAGGCAUAAGUGGUUUUUUUAAAUUCCCCAUGUGAUUCCAAUGAACAGCCAAGGUAGUGAGGAGUGCAGUGGGCCUCAGUGUUGGAUUGGCUGCAUGAGCAUCACCUGAGGGACUUUGUGAAAUGCAGAUUUCUCGGCACCACCCCUGGAGAUUCUGGUUCACUGAGUCUCAGGGAGGUCAGUGCGUGAGUGAGUCACUGUGGGCUCCUCAGUGAGGAAGAGAGAAUCUGGAGGAAUUACACUUUGCAGUGGGUCCAGAACAAAGCAGAAAGAGGAGCUGGGUUCAGUGUGCAGGCCAAGAGACCACGUGCCAGCCCAGGUGCCUGGGAAAUAAGCUGCCCUCAAGGAGGGCCUAAUCUAGUUGGAAGACAGGACAAAGCAGUGUGGAGUUGGAGCUGCCAUGGUCUCAGAGGCAGCAGGAAGUGCUGGGAAAUCAGAGGAGAGUGGGAGUGAAUAGAGGGGGGUGGGAAACGAGACUGGUUUGAAGUAGGAAGAGCCUGGCUAAGUCUGUGCAGAAGAAAAGUGAUGAAGAUAAGACCUGAUGAUAGGGCCUUGUGCCCAGCUGAAGACUCUGAUCUUGACCCUGUGGUCUAUGGAGAAACUGAUCCAGGAGCAGAACCCAGGGAGGAGGGUCCAAGAGGCCAGUUGACCAGUUAGAACACUGUUGGAGAAUCCCAGCACAAGGAGAUUGGGUUACACUGGGGGGAGCCGGUUUGGGGGGGAUGGAGGGGGCAGGAACACUGGUAAGGCUCCAGACUAUUGGCUGUACAUUAAAAAGAGCAAUGGCCUGGGUAAUGUUCCCAGUAACCUGCUAGCUUUCAUCUCUCAGGCUCACAAGAACGCCAGGAUAAAUUACGAGACAUGGGCAUCGUAGAUAUUCUACACAAACUGAGUCAGUCACCAGAUUCAAACCUUUGUGACAAGGCAAAGACAGCGCUGCAGCAGUACCUGGCGUGAUGAGAACACCCCGGGCACCUGCGGGCAUCCCACAUCCUUGUUAAAGGAAGUACAGGAACUAGCCUCAUUUGAUUCCUUCUAUUUGCACAAGUCACCUUGGACUGCAGGGAGCUGUUUUGCAAAAGCAAUUUGGUAGGCUUAGAUCUCAAAUUCAUCUUGAGAACAUUUUUUUUUGAGGUAGUAAUUUUCUCAGAGGACUAUUGUGUUUUGUUUUGUUUCUUUCUGAGCUACCUGGACUCUUUAUUAGAACAAUCAAUUAUUUUCCUUUGGACCUACAGUUUUUUGCCUAUGCUGCAGCCACUUUGUGAGUGAGAAUGGAUGUGUAUGUGUGUGUGUGUGUGUGUGUGUGCGCGCGCGCGCGCCGGUGUGGACAAAAGUCAGAAUGAAUGAAUAUGUGUGUGUGUGAGGGAUACCUCAGAGUUUUCUUUUCUUAUUUUGUGUGAAAAUCUCUUUUCUACAGAUUUUCCAGGGUUUAAGCAUUGCUUGCUGUAUAAAAAAAAAAAAAUUUACUGAAUUAUAUACAGUUUGAAUGAAAUGUUAUUUUAAAAACAAAACAAUUGUUAAGUGUUCCAUAAAGGUUAUGUUGAAUUUUGGUCAGAUAAAUAUUUGUAAGUAAAAAAUAUAUGCAUUUCUGAACCUCAACUUACAUAGAUUUUCUUUAUAAAAAAAACAAAAAACAAAAAAAAGAAAAAAAAUUAAAAAGAAAAAGAAAAGGUUGGCUAUAGUUGGCCUGAGUAACAGGCAUGACAUAUGGUGCUGUGCAAAAUAGUAAGCUAGCAUCUUACUGCCGUCAAUAUCAGCAGGUACAGAGCCUCUUUUCAGCCUAAUUCAAUAAGCUCUCAGGCUUCCAAGUCAGAUGGACAGGUUGGAGUGGAGUGAGGCGACAAAUACAGACAUCAAAGGGAAUUGUAACUACUGAUAGUGGAAACCCAGCCAUGACUGGUGGACUACACUUGGCAGGACCUGGGCACCAAGAGCCUCCCAGCUGCCCUAAACCCUGUCACUGGUGUAGCAAUAGAUGGCAGGAUUUAGAUCCAGUCAUGGAAACUUGUGCUCCAGCUGAAGUAGGUCACCACUUCCUGGAAACAAAGUCCAAUCACCUUGUGCUUCCUGAAACAGCAUAUAUCACUGUGAAACUAAAGAAUGUCCUACAGAUGCAUCUGUAGGAAGAAGCAGAGAACAGAAAAGCCGUUCUUCUCUCGGCUGUACUCAGCAACUUCUAUAUACUUGUCACUCAGGACUGCUAUUCAGUGUGCUUUUGUAAAGUGAGAUGGAAAUUUUAGUAAAUGAUGUGGCUAAGAUCUUUUCCUGCAUGAAGCCCAAAGCACUGAAGUUCGAGAGAAGGGAAGGGGGUCCCCUUGGGAGGACCGAAGAUGACAGCUUUUUCCAGUCAGGACUGCUUUGCCCUUUGGCAGCCCUUAGCUUGGUACCUGCUCCAACUUCUGGGUCAGCUUCAAGGUGAACUCAACAUGAUUACUCCUGACUGUUUGAAGGUACAACCAACCUUCCUUGUCCCUCGGCUAUAAGAAUUUCAGAGGCAUCGUGGCCAGGAAGCAGGGUCUGUGCUCAGAAGCUUGCCCUGAGUGUGUGCACCUGAUGGGCUCCCAAACCCGCCUGCCAUUCCUGACGGAGCUGCCGGCGGUGCAGCCACUCCAUCACCAACCUGCUCCUUCCUUGGAAGAUUUAAAUAUGUUUGAUUGCAAAUGAAUGUUUUUAAAAUGUAUUUAAUGCCAUUUUUUUUCUGUUUUCAACAUGACCACCCAAGAUUCAAACACAGAGAUUUCCAAGUUGUAUUUUUUCUUUCAGAACAUUACUGAUUUAAAAAUCUGUCCCAACAGGGGCUUGGGUUUUGUACAACCAUCAGAGUGCUAAUGUGCAGAAGCCAGUUUAAAGAAAAUGGAGUGUUCUGGGGAUAAAAGCCUUAUUUAGGCCCACUCACUGACAUUUCUAGUACUGAGAAAAUAUCCUUGGUUGGCAUUUGUAACACAAAACACUAUAGAGUUGGUAUUUUUAAGUACCAGGUAAAUAUAAAUAAACCAAUAAUGAAUUGCUGAGACAAUCUUGAACCCAGAUAGCAUUAGAAAGCUGAAAAUCCAAUGAAAUGACACUUUGACACUUAAACUCUGUGGAUAAAUCUUGCCUGUGGCUAUAAACAGAUGGUCAGAGGAAAAGUGCUUUAUGAUAAUUAACUUUUCUGAUUUGAAUGAAGGAAAAUGUAUUUAUUAAAACAAAGCUGUUUGCUGCUUUAUGCAGAUGCAGUGUUCUGUCUGCAAGGAAGUGGGGGGAAUGGAACGUGGGCUUGUGUCUCCACCCAAGUUCUUAACUAAGCUUCUCGCUCUCUCUAAUACUGCAUUCUGUUUCUCCUUUUGUGCCCUGAUUGUAACCCAAAAUUUAUGAACUAGAAAAGAAUGUCCAAUUUAAUAAGUUGCAUUUUUUUUCCUUAAGCACUUUAUGCAGAACAAACCAUGUUCUUCUGGUAGUGUUUGGAUAAUAUGAUUUUAACACAUGCUAAUAAAAGCCAAGAAAAAAGCAUGGCAACUUCUAAAAA